GACGAACGCUGGCGGCGUGCCUAAUACAUGCAAGUAGAACGCACAGUUUAUACCGUAGCUUGCUACACCAUAGACUGUGAGUUGCGAACGGGUGAGUAACGCGUAGGUAACCUGCCUGGUAGCGGGGGAUAACUAUUGGAAACGAUAGCUAAUACCGCAUAAUAUUAAUUAUUGCAUGAUAAUUAAUUGAAAGGUGCAAUUGCACCACUACCAGAUGGACCUGCGUUGUAUUAGCUGGUAGGUGAGGUAACGGCUCACCUAGGCGACGAUACAUAGCCGACCUGAGAGGGUGAUCGGCCACACUGGGACUGAGACACGGCCCAGACUCCUACGGGAGGCAGCAGUAGGGAAUCUUCGGCAAUGGACGAAAGUCUGACCGAGCAACGCCGCGUGAGUGAAGAAGGGUUUCGGAUCGUAAAGCUCUGUUGUAAGAGCAGAACGGGUGUGAGAGUGGAAAGUUCACACUGUGACGGUAUCUUACCAGAAAGGGACGGCUAACUACGUG
This 505-nucleotide ribosomal RNA is filed under the name uncultured bacterium. RNAcentral's name for it is "partial 16S ribosomal RNA". It matches the Rfam family "Bacterial small subunit ribosomal RNA", at positions 28 to 507 of the family's 1533-position model. The record is from RNAcentral.